GUUGUCCGCAUGUAAACUUCUAGAAUUUGUCACCAAUAUAAGUACAUCGCAAUCCGUUACUGUUUCAACAGCCAUCGGUGUUUCAUGUGUGUAUUCUUAAAUAAGUAUUAUUUUUCUCUCGUUUUUAGCAAUGUAUCACUCUCUACUGUCCUUAUAUAUUAUUCUAUAUUCUGCGUUUCCAUCCAGAUUCUCGUGUAUACCAUGAGGGUCCGGAUUGGGGGUUUUGUUGAUUUCUGUACUCUUUAAAUUGUUAUGUCAUUUUUUUCUACAUUUUGUUUAUCUUACUCAUUAUUCUUUCUUUCUUUUCAUAUUUUGUCAUCCCAAUAUAUUUU
Molecule: long non-coding RNA, 332 nt
Filed under: Mytilus galloprovincialis (Mediterranean mussel)
Lineage: Eukaryota; Metazoa; Mollusca; Bivalvia; Mytilida; Mytilidae
Source: RNAcentral